ACUUCCUUCGCCACAAGUCGCUCAACGGACCGUUCAGGUGCCUCUCGGCCGGGCGGCAGGAUGAAGGCGGGGAAGAGCGAGCGGGAGCGAAGCGGCCGGCGGCGACACCGGACGGACGAUGCUUUGGCGAACGUGGUGGUGAAGCAGGAGCCUCUGAGCCCCGAACCCGUGACGCACCGCCGGCCGGACGCCGCAGCUGCCAGCCCGUCCCCGCCCGUCGCCGAGCCGAGCCGCGCCGGCCACCGCGGGAGCCGAGCCCGAGGAGCGAGCCGGUCCCCAGCCAAAAAGAAAAGCAAGUCCUCAGGGAGGAGAAGCAAGUCUCCUCGGAUUAAGAGAAGCCGGAGUCCCCACUACCCCAUGGUCAAAGUGAAGCAGGAACGUGAGGACCAUCCACGGAGAGGGCGAGAGGAUCGGCAGCACCGGGAGCCAUCAGAACAGGAGCACAGGAGAGCUCGGAACAUGGAGCGAGACCGGCACCGGGGCCAUUCCCGCCAGAGGAGGAGCUCCAAUGAGAGGCCUGUCAGUGGGCAGGGUCGGGAUCGAGACAGCCAGAAUCUGCAGGCCCAGGAAGAAGAGAGAGACUUCUAUAACGCCAGGCGCCGGGAGCAUCGCCAGCAGAAUGAAGGUGCUGGCGGUGAGGCUCAGGAGGUGAUCCCUCGCCCUGCUGGUAACAGAAGCAAAGAGGUACCUGUUAAAGAAAAACCGAACUUUGAACUUUCUGGAGCACUUCUUGAGGAUACCAAUACCUUCCGGGGUGUGGUUAUUAAAUACAGUGAGCCCCCAGAAGCUCGGAUUCCCAAAAAGCGGUGGCGUCUCUACCCAUUUAAAAAUGAUGAGGUGCUUCCAGUCAUGUACAUCCAUCGGCAGAGUGCUUACCUUCUGGGUCGACAUCGCCGCAUUGCCGACAUUCCCAUCGACCACCCCUCCUGCUCAAAGCAGCAUGCAGUCUUCCAGUACCGGCUUGUCGAGUACACCCGUGCUGACGGCACAGUUGGUCGGAGAGUAAAGCCCUACAUCAUUGACCUCGGCUCUGGCAACGGAACGUUCUUGAACAACAAGCGUAUUGAGCCACAGAGAUACUAUGAACUGAGAGAAAAAGACGUACUUAAAUUUGGGUUCAGUAGCAGAGAAUAUGUCUUGCUCCACGAGUCUUCAGACACCUCUGAACUAGACAGGAAGGAGGAUGAAGAUGACGAGGAGGAGGAAAUGGUGUCUGACAGCUAGCAGCUGAGAAGCAGCCUCCGCUGUUAGAAAGCGUUCCUACCGGAGGCUAUGGAGGUCAAACCCUGAGACUACGGAGAACAUCUUGUCACACAACUGCUUCAUCUUCGCCUAGAAGCAGAGGAUGGAGGAUCAUGGAGCGAAGCCCUAAAAGACCACACUUGGCUGGGAGAUUGACAAGGCCAAGAACAAGUCCUAAACCCACUUGGACCUUCAAGACUAAGCAGUUCUUCCUCCAGCGUCACAUAAACGUGGAGACGCCCCUACCUCACCUGUGUCAAGCAGUCUCCCCCUCGAUCAUAAACUGCUGGUUGCCUUGCUCCUAAACCCUCCUUCCUACUCUGUCCAGUAGCCUUUUCCUGCCCUUUCUGCAUCUUUCUUCACCACCCUUGGCCUCCUCAAAUGCUGCCAUUGGUUCUAAGAGUUCCAUCCAUCAGACCCCGGAGUCUUCCCACCAGUCCUAGGUAUUCACCCUCUCUCAUGAGCUGGGUUCCACGGCCAGGCUCCAGGAGUGCAGUCCACUCAUGCCUCAGGGGUGUUCCCUCCUGACCCUGGAUUUCAUCUGCAGUUGCUAGGGACACAUUCACAGUCUGCUGGGGUUCACCCCUUGAAUCCCAGGCUGGACCUAGCUCCAUGCGUCCCAGGCUAAGGCCUCCACUCCCUGGAAACAUUCUCCCCCAACAGUCCUGGCUAUAUGCUGUUUUUCUAUGGCCAGUCCUUAGAACGUUUUGUAUUUUGUCUUGUCCUGCACCCAUUAGCAACCUCCCCAGUGUGUAAGUCUAAUUUAAGAUGGCUGGGGAUUAGUUUAUCAGUGGAAUGCUUGCCUGGUAUGAGUUCAGUUUCUAGCACUGAGGAUUUAAAAGAAGAAAAGAUGGAUAUGGUGGUCACAGCUUUUAUUAGUACUUGGGAGGCAGAGGCAAGCAGCUCUGUGAGUUAGAGGUCAGACUGAGGAGUUUGAAGCCAGCCAGGGCUACAGAGUAAGACCCUGUCUCAAGUGAAAAUUUCAAAAAUAUAGUUUACAAAAGUGACACAGUUGAGGUCAUUUACUGAAGUGACUUGAGUGACUGUCAGUUGAACACAGCAUGUUAGUAGUUGGUUUGCAACUCUGAGUCAGACACAGCAACACUUAAGCAGGACUGUCCUGGAACGGGUGAUGUUUUGAGGAGUGUCUUACAGCAGAGGUAGAUUCUGAACUAGUAGGUGAGGGCCCCUGUACCAGUUGAGACAGUUGAGGAAGCAGUGGGACUGCAGAGGGGUGCAUGGAAAGAGUGUAAGCCAUGUUCGGAAGUGCCAUUGUGGUAAGUGGCCAUGAGGUCACACAGUCACCUACAGAGCAUGAUGGACAGAGUGGAGGAGGGAAAAGAAUGGAGUGGGCCACUCCCAUCACUGGAGUCACAGAAUCACACUGGGUGGGACAGAGAAGGCUCAGGAGAAUCCUUGUCUCAGUAAUAGCAGCAGUAGCGGUACAGCACUUGCUUUGCCAGCAUGAGAACCUGAAUUUGGGCCCCCAGCUUCCAUGUGGAAACCAAGCACAGAAGCAUUUGUAAUCCCAGUGUUAGGGAUGUGGAGGCGGGUGGGUCCUUGCAAUUCAGUGCCCAGCCAGUGUCUGUCAGUUAAGCUUCAGGUUCGGUGACUAUCAAACAAUAAGGUGGGGAGUGAUAGAGACACUCAUAUUCAAACACACAAACGUGGACUCCCCUGUUGUGUGACAAAACUUUACCCGAGGAGAUGAAACACAUCUACUCAUCCCAAACAGGGUCCCACGGCAAACCUAAGUACCAAGUCCAACUUGGUGAACCAAUGAAUUUUAUUGGGGUUACAAGAGCAGAAAUGACUCAGAUGCAACACUAAAACCCACCCCAACAUGGGUGACAGCUCCAAAAGGCUGGGAACCUGGAGCACACUGCACACCCUACUGACAGCUCAGCAGGUUGGAGAGAGUCCUUUCCAGGUGCCUCAGUUGGUUUUAAACCUCUUCUAGGCAGCUGGUCUGGGCUCAGAGUUUUUGCAGCUCAGCCUUCCUUCCUCCCAGAGGGGCUCUAGGCUUUUGUUUACUCUGGCAGGGAGGGCCAAGUGAGUCUGCUGAGUUUCAGGGACUUCCUAAAGCUACUUUGAUUUGUUUGCCUUUCUGCUUGAGCUUUCCAGAAGGAUGGAGUAUUUCAGAGAGCCUUAACACCACCCCCCAAAAAAGUCAGUAUAUUAGAGCAUGCUCAAGGAAAAUGAAAUUCUAAGCACUUUAGAUAUGUACUAGAUCAUACCAGAACUCUGUCCUCAGGUAAGCAGGAUUUGACUUUUGAAAAUGAGAAAGCCGAAGCACAAAACAGUGAAAGUAACAAUUUUUAUGUCUUUUGCCUGCAUUUAUAUCUGUAUCCUGUGUAUGCAUGGUACCCAUGGAGGCCAGAAUACAGUGUCGGAUAACACUUGAAAUGGAGUUAUAGACAAUUGUGGACCACCAUGUGAGUUGUUGGAAUCUUAACUCGGGUCCUCUGCGAGAACCAGAAGCACUCAACUGCUAAACAUCUUUCCAGCUCCAUAUACCAUGUUCUUUGUAAUUAAAAGUAAUUUUGUGUGUAUGGA
Meriones unguiculatus (Mongolian gerbil) is the source of this 3798-nucleotide RNA transcript. It is a transcript of the gene named Smad nuclear interacting protein 1, with no coding region annotated. The transcript has 5 exons. NCBI's taxonomy places the organism in Eukaryota, Metazoa, Chordata, Mammalia, Rodentia, Muridae. The record is from RefSeq and is a predicted model, not a curated record.